Molecule: unclassified non-coding RNA, 117 nt
Organism: Pongo abelii (Sumatran orangutan)
Lineage: Eukaryota; Metazoa; Chordata; Mammalia; Primates; Hominidae
Rfam family: Metazoan signal recognition particle RNA
About the family: The signal recognition particle (SRP) is a universally conserved ribonucleoprotein. It is involved in the co-translational targeting of proteins to membranes. The eukaryotic SRP consists of a 300-nucleotide 7S RNA and six proteins: SRPs 72, 68, 54, 19, 14, and 9.
Source: Ensembl
GCCAGGUGUGGUGGCUCAUGCCUGUAAUCCUACCACUUUGGGAGGCCAAGGCAGGAGGAUCCCUUGAGCCCAGGAGUUCUGGACCAGUCUGGGCAACAUAAGGAGACCCUGUCUUUA